This 585-nucleotide ribosomal RNA is filed under the name uncultured bacterium. RNAcentral's name for it is "bacterial SSU rRNA". It matches the Rfam family "Bacterial small subunit ribosomal RNA", at positions 338 to 916 of the family's 1533-position model. The record is from RNAcentral.
CCUACGGGAGGCAGCAGUGGGGAAUUUUGGACAAUGGACGAAAGUCUGAUCCAGCAAUGCCGCGUGCAGGACGAAGGCCUUCGGGUUGUAAACUGCUUUUGUACGGAACGAAAAGGUCUGCCUUAAUACGGUGGGCUCAUGACGGUACCGUAAGAAUAAGCACCGGCUAACUACGUGCCAGCAGCCGCGGUAAUACGUAGGGUGCAAGCGUUAAUCGGAAUUACUGGGCGUAAAGCGUGCGCAGGCGGUUAUAUAAGACAGAUGUGAAAUCCCCGGGCUCAACCUGGGACCUGCAUUUGUGACUGUAUAGCUAGAGUACGGUAGAGGGGGAUGGAAUUCCGCGUGUAGCAGUGAAAUGCGUAGAUAUGCGGAGGAACACCGAUGGCGAAGGCAAUCCCCUGGACCUGUACUGACGCUCAUGCACGAAAGCGUGGGGAGCAAACAGGAUUAGAUACCCUGGUAGUCCACGCCCUAAACGAUGUCAACUGGUUGUUGGGUCUUCGCUGACUCAGUAACGAAGCUAACGCGUGAAGUUGACCGCCUGGGGAGUACGGCCGCAAGGUUGAACGUUAAAUGAAUUGACGG